ACCACUGAGCUAAAUCCCCAACCCCUUAAUAUUUUAUUUAUUUAGUAUAUAUGAGUACAUUGUAGCUGUCUUCAGAUACACCAGAAUCUGUUAUAGAUGGUUGUGAGCCAUCAUGUGGUUGCUGGGAAUUGAACUCAGGACCUCUGGAAGAGCAGUCAGUGCUCUUAACCGCUGAACCAUCUCUCCAGCCCUGCUGAGUUUUAAAAACAAGUUUCAAACUUGUUUUUCCCUGCUUUUUACCUUUUGAAACUGUAGGAAUGGUUUUUCUUUUAAGCUGAACUUAGGUUUGUAAUUGACUAUCCUAGUGUGAAAAUAUUUAUAGCCUGGUACAUGAUGUGUUGACUCAUCUAGGCUUCUCUGUUUUAAGUGGCUUGACAGCUGAACGUCACAGGUGUUCUCUGUUGUCAGCUAGGGUUAGGUAUAGCUUUGUGUUGGGGUGGUAAUUCGUAAGAAUUUGUAUUUUUGGAAAAUGUCUUUCAUGAGACUAUUUUAACUUUGAGUAAUCACUAUGGUUCUUUUUCUAAAGUUUGUAUUUUAUAGUAUGGAUGUUCUGUCUGCACAUAUGUCUGUGUGCCACUUUGCAUGCUUGCAAAAGCCCGAGGAGAGCAUUAGAUCCACUGGAACUGAAGUUGCAGACAGUUGUGAGUAGAGCAGUUGGUGCUGUUAGCCACAAACCAUCCCUCCAGCUUCUACUGUGUUUUUGUUUUUUGUUUUUUUUUUUUUUUUCUUUUCUAUUUUUUGGAGCUGGGGACCGAACCCAAGGCCUUGCGAUUGCUAGGCAAGCGCUCUACCACUGAGCUAAAUCCCCAACCCCUCUACUGUGUUUUUAAAUUGGUUCUUCUUUGUAUUUGGAGACAGGGUCUGUAGACCAGGCUGCCUUGAACUUUUGCCACCCCUGCCCUUGCCUCCUGAGGGCUGGGGUUGCAGGAGUGCACUACCACACUGGGCUUGGUUUGCUGUGUUUAACCGAGGAGAAUCCUAUGCAUGUGGAUUCACUUUCCUGAUUCUUAUAGUUUUACCUAUAUUUCCUAAAUUAAAUACUUUCAUGCUUGUCUCUAAAACGAAGCCUUUUUAUUAAUGUAUAUUUAAUCUGUGAAGAGCCCUCUGAAGUAAUCAUUCUUGAAAUGGAAAGGGCUGAAGAGAAAUGUGAACAUCCCUGCCUGCACUUUCUUCUCCGGACCUUUAAGGGCAGGCAGAUCCUGUCAGCCUUACUCUGCCACUUCUCCGACUCAGUAUGCAUACCCUUCAGCACAGAUGUGUCUGCAGUUUGACAGUUGGGAAGGAUGUUCCUGGCUUGGCCUGGUGCUCUCUGAUUUACUUCUGCGUUUAGCAGUCGUUAAUGUGCGUUUACACCUUGGCACGGAGUGGAGCAGUUGGAUAGAGGGUGACCAUUCUGAAAUAACUGAACAGAUCAACAUAAUCUCGACCUCGUAGGUAGCGUGUGAAACUGAACAAAUGGGACUCUUGCAGGUGGUUUGGCCAUUAGUGGUGACCAUGAGUUGGGUGUAUUAAGCAAGUAAACAGGAUGUUCUGUGUGCUGUGUAACCUUGAGACUUCUACUUCCAUUUUCAGAAAUGGAGUCUACAUUAGAAAAGCUGUUUUCUUUUUCUUAGUUUUCAAAAUAAAGUGGGGCUUGUACAUCUGCAGUCAGUGCCGCAUCCUGGAGAGAAUGGCUCCCUCCAUCCUGGAUUUGUUGAUAGUCUAAGUGGUUUUAUUUGUUUGUUUGGUUGGUUUGAUUGGUUGGUUUGGUAGCUUGUAUAUGUUUGUGUUUUUUCUUUUUUUUUAAAUUUCAGUUAGAAGUUGGGCAUAGAAAAAUGUUUUGUUUUUAAAGUGAGAGGCUGUGGCUGGCAAGGUGGUCCAGUGGGUGCAGGCUUGCUGCUGGGUCUGGUUACCUGAAUUUGACCCUCAUGACCCACAUGAUAGAGGGAGAAGACUUACUCUACACACUGCCCUCUGGCCAUUGGUGUGUGCUCCUACAUGUGGGCUCUUUCAUCAGAGUAAACAUAAUGAAAAAUAUAUUUUAAGAGAAAAGAGAACACAAAAUUACCACUUGUACAUAUUCUAUUUCAAAUAACUGAAAAAUUUAGGACAAAAAUUGGUCAAACUUCGGAAGCCAAGUGUGUUGGUUUCUGUGGUAGAGAAAGCUAAUAUCAAGAUGAUUC
Molecule: non-coding RNA, 2162 nt
Organism: Rattus norvegicus (Norway rat)
Lineage: Eukaryota; Metazoa; Chordata; Mammalia; Rodentia; Muridae
Source: RefSeq